This 71-nucleotide transfer RNA is filed under the name Malakichthys wakiyae (silverbelly seaperch). Its description in RNAcentral is "tRNA-Pro". It matches the Rfam family "tRNA". Rfam says of the family: Transfer RNA (tRNA) molecules are approximately 80 nucleotides in length. The record is from RNAcentral. RNAcentral also lists the same sequence under 1 other name. Lineage: Eukaryota; Metazoa; Chordata; Actinopteri; Acropomatiformes; Malakichthyidae.
CAGAGAAUAGUUUAAAUUUAGAAUUCUAGCUUUGGGAGCUGGGGGUGGGAGUUAAAAUCUCCUUUCUUUGA